GACGAACGCUGGCGGCGCGCCUAACACAUGCAAGUCGAACGAGCGAGAGAGAGCUUGCUUUCUUGAGCGAGUGGCGAACGGGUGAGUAACGCGUGAGGAACCUGCCUCAAAGAGGGGGACAACAGUUGGAAACGACUGCUAAUGCCGCAUAAGCCCACGACCCGGCAUCGGGUUGAGGGAAAAGGGGCAAUCCGCUUUGAGAUGGCCUCGCGUCCGAUUAGCUAGUUGGUGAGGUAACGGCCCACCAAGGCGACGAUCGGUAGCCGGACUGGGAGGCUGAACGGCCACAUUGGGACUGAGACACGGCCCAGACUCCGACGGGAGGGAGCAGUGGGGAAUAUUGCACAAUGGGGGAAACCCUGAUGCAGCGACGCCGCGUGGAGGAAGAAGGUCUUCGGAUUGUAAACUCCUGUUGUUGAGGAAGAUAAUGACGGUACUCAACAAGGAAGUGACGGCUAACUACGUG
This 466-nucleotide ribosomal RNA is filed under the name uncultured bacterium. Its description in RNAcentral is "partial 16S ribosomal RNA". It matches the Rfam family "Bacterial small subunit ribosomal RNA", at positions 28 to 507 of the family's 1533-position model. The record is from RNAcentral.